GCUCCAUUGGAGAAGUCAGGAGUUCUCGCCAGCCUGUCACGCUGGAGAUCACGGGUUCAAAUCCCGUAUGGAGCG
Molecule: transfer RNA, 75 nt
Filed under: Gemmataceae bacterium
Lineage: Bacteria; Pseudomonadati; Planctomycetota; Planctomycetia; Gemmatales; Gemmataceae
Description: tRNA-Asp
Rfam family: tRNA
About the family: Transfer RNA (tRNA) molecules are approximately 80 nucleotides in length.
Source: RNAcentral